This 253-nucleotide ribosomal RNA is filed under the name uncultured bacterium. RNAcentral's name for it is "partial 16S ribosomal RNA". It matches the Rfam family "Bacterial small subunit ribosomal RNA", at positions 524 to 776 of the family's 1533-position model. The record is from RNAcentral.
GACAGAGGUCCCGAGCGUUAGGCGGAAUCACUGGGCUUAAAGCGUGUGUAGGCGGCGGCCUAAGUACCUUGUGAAAUCCCACGGCUCACCCGUGGAACUGCUCGGUAUACUGGGUCGCUUGAGCCACUUAGGGGCUACCGGAACAAAUGGUGGAGCGGUGAAAUGCGUAGAUAUCAGGAAGAACACCGAUGGCGAAGGCAGCUCUCUGGGACGGUACUGACGCUGAGACGCGAAAGCGUGGGGAGCAAACAGG